Molecule: long non-coding RNA, 1252 nt
Filed under: Mus musculus (house mouse)
Lineage: Eukaryota; Metazoa; Chordata; Mammalia; Rodentia; Muridae
Description: predicted gene, 56689
Source: RNAcentral
GAGCGACGACGGCAGGUCGAGCUCGGCUCGGUCCGAGGCGCCCGCCGCACACACUAGCGCACGCUCAAGCCGGCGUUCCACUCGGAGGCACCGCCGGGCCCCAGGAGAGGCCAGACGAAGCGGCGGCGGCUGGGGGUUUUUACAGUUCUUUUCCGAGUCGAAAAAGAAAGCAGACGGGAACCCGCCGCCCUCCCCUUCCUGCUAGCGAGGCCCGAUCUGCUGUGCCCUCACUCCAUACCCCAGCGUCUCCAGACCUUUAGCACCCGUACAGCCCACCCCGCCCUGUCUUGAUUGCGGGGAUGUAGAGUGGUUUGCGUCGUGAGGCCUGACAGAACCUUCUGUGUGGGGCCGCGGUAGGAGGAGGUUAAUGCAUAAUGCACAGCGCCUGGAAGCCCAGCCAUUAGCGGCCUGUCGGUGACACAGACAAACGACUGAAAGGAAGGGGAUCCAGCUCGCUCUGGAGUUUAAAUAUACCAGCAUGGAGAGGGAACGCCAUGAUUUAAAAGUGUGUGUUUGCAGACACCCGCAUAUAUUUUAAUGAUUUCCAGCAAGCUGCACGUCCCAACCCGGCACCCCCACCCCUCAACACAGAAGAGAGAGGAUGAAGGAGCCCACAGUUUUUUGAAUCUUCCUGUUCUGCUGACAAUCCAGAGACCUCCUUCCUGCCCGUUUAACACACCAGUGUUUUUUAGCAAUUAAGGCGAGAAUGGGGUGGGGAUAAAGAUAAGCCAAUUUUUUUCCGCCAUGCAAGUGUGAAAGAUAAGAUAAGGCUAAGCUGGGGCAAAGCGGCUGCUUACAACCUCCCCUCAGCGAUUUUGAUCGGUCACUUCUUAUCUCGAAAAAAUGCUCCUUUCGAAAACUGCAUCAAAAAAAGAAAAAAGCUGACGGAAAGCGUUUUCAUUUGGAAGUGACAUUUAAAACCUAACUGCCUUCCACCAGCAACCCCUCUCCAAAGGCGAGGCUCUCCAGGAAAAGUCGCACCUCUACUGCAGGGUUUCAGGCCUUCUCGUGGGAGGACUGGAUUUCUAGUGUAAUUAAACUCAAAACCAGGGAUGCGCGAUGAGGACUUAUUCUGCAUCUGACACAUGUUUAUCUUUUAUUACUGGUCUAUAUUUCUGUCUCACCAUCGAGAGGAUGUGCUGAAACUAAAACAAACAGGUAGCUAUAUUUGGGAGGGCCAUAUAAUAACUAUGUCAACAAUGAGGUGGCUGUUCGUUGGAAAAAAUAAAAAAAACUCUGUUGAUUUUCACAA